AGAGUUUGAUCCUGGCUCAGGAUGAACGCUGGCGGCGUGCCUAAUACAUGCAAGUCGAGCGAACGGACGAGAAGCUUGCUUCUCUGAUGUUAGCGGCGGACGGGUGAGUAACACGUGGAUAACCUACCUAUAAGACUGGGAUAACUUCGGGAAACCGGAGCUAAUACCGGAUAAUAUUUUGAACCGCAUGGUUCAAAAGUGAAAGACGGUCUUGCUGUCACUUAUAGAUGGAUCCGCGCUGCAUUAGCUAGUUGGUAAGGUAACGGCUUACCAAGGCAACGAUGCAUAGCCGACCUGAGAGGGUGAUCGGCCACACUGGAACUGAGACACGGUCCAGACUCCUACGGGAGGCAGCAGUAGGGAAUCUUCCGCAAUGGGCGAAAGCCUGACGGAGCAACGCCGCGUGAGUGAUGAAGGUCUUCGGAUCGUAAAACUCUGUUAUUAGGGAAGAACAUAUGUGUAAGUAACUGUGCACAUCUUGACGGUACCUAAUCAGAAAGCCACGGCUAACUACGUGCCAGCAGCCGCGGUAAUACGUAGGUGGCAAGCGUUAUCCGGAAUUAUUGGGCGUAAAGCGCGCGUAGGCGGUUUUUUAAGUCUGAUGUGAAAGCCCACGGCUCAACCGUGGAGGGUCAUUGGAAACUGGAAAACUUGAGUGCAGAAGAGGAAAGUGGAAUUCCAUGUGUAGCGGUGAAAUGUGCAGAGAUAUGGAGGAACACCAGUGGCGAAGGCGACUUUCUGGUCUGUAACUGACGCUGAUGUGCGAAAGCGUGGGGAUCAAACAGGAUUAGAUACCCUGGUAGUCCACGCCGUAAACGAUGAGUGCUAAGUGUUAGGGGGUUUCCGCCCCUUAGUGCUGCAGCUAACGCAUUAAGCACUCCGCCUGGGGAGUACGACCGCAAGGUUGAAACUCAAAGGAAUUGACGGGGACCCGCACAAGCGGUGGAGCAUGUGGUUUAAUUCGAAGCAACGCGAAGAACCUUACCAAAUCUUGACAUCCUUUGACAACUCUAGAGAUAGAGCCUUCCCCUUCGGGGGACAAAGUGACAGGUGGUGCAUGGUUGUCGUCAGCUCGUGUCGUGAGAUGUUGGGUUAAGUCCCGCAACGAGCGCAACCCUUAAGCUUAGUUGCCAUCAUUAAGUUGGGCACUCUAAGUUGACUGCCGGUGACAAACCGGAGGAAGGUGGGGAUGACGUCAAAUCAUCAUGCCCCUUAUGAUUUGGGCUACACACGUGCUACAAUGGACAAUACAAAGGGCAGCGAAACCGCGAGGUCAAGCAAAUCCCAUAAAGUUGUUCUCAGUUCGGAUUGUAGUCUGCAACUCGACUACAUGAAGCUGGAAUCGCUAGUAAUCGUAGAUCAGCAUGCUACGGUGAAUACGUUCCCGGGUCUUGUACACACCGCCCGUCACACCACGAGAGUUUGUAACACCCGAAGCCGGUGGAGUAACCUUUUAGGAGCUAGCCGUCGAAGGUGGGACAAAUGAUUGGGGUGAAGUCGUAACAAGGUAGCCGUAUCGGAAGGUGCGGCUGGAUCACCU
This 1540-nucleotide ribosomal RNA is filed under the name Staphylococcus aureus. RNAcentral's name for it is "16S ribosomal RNA". It matches the Rfam family "Bacterial small subunit ribosomal RNA". The record is from RNAcentral. RNAcentral also lists the same sequence under 1 other name. Lineage: Bacteria; Bacillati; Bacillota; Bacilli; Caryophanales; Staphylococcaceae.